Molecule: transfer RNA, 68 nt
Filed under: Potamotrygonocestus sp. MZUSP 7996
Lineage: Eukaryota; Metazoa; Platyhelminthes; Cestoda; Tetraphyllidea; Onchobothriidae
Description: tRNA-Ser
Source: RNAcentral
ACUUGUAACUUUUUUAUAAAGCAUUUGAUUUGAAAUCAGAUUGUUUGUUUUUAUUAACAAUACAGGUU